CAGGUCUUGACAUCCCUCUGACCGCUCUAGAGAUAGAGUUUUCCUUCGGGACAGAGGUGACAGGUGGUGCAUGGUUGUCGUCAGCUCGUGUCGUGAGAUGUUGGGUUAAGUCCCGCAACGAGCGCAACCCCUAUUGUUAGUUGCCAUCAUUCAGUUGGGCACUCUAGCGAGACUGCCGGUAAUAAACCGGAGGAAGGUGGGGAUGACGUCAAAUCAUCAUGCCCCUUAUGACCUGGGCUACACACGUGCUACAAUGGUUGGUACAACGAGUCGCAAGCCGGUGACGGCAAGCUAAUCUCUUAAAGCCAAUCUCAGUUCGGAUUGUAGGCUGCAACUCGCCUACAUGAAGUCGGAAUCGCUAGUAAUCGCGGAUCAUCACGCCGCGGUGAAUACGUUCCCGGGCCUUGUACACACCGCCCGUCACACCACGAGAGUUUGUAACACCCGAAGUCGGUGAGGUAACCAUUUGGAGCCAGCCGCCUAAGGUGGGAUAGAUGAUUGGGGUG
RNAcentral lists this ribosomal RNA (506 nucleotides) under uncultured bacterium. RNAcentral's name for it is "bacterial SSU rRNA". It matches the Rfam family "Bacterial small subunit ribosomal RNA", at positions 975 to 1482 of the family's 1533-position model. The record is from RNAcentral.